Molecule: non-coding RNA, 72 nt
Organism: Octopus bimaculoides (California two-spot octopus)
Lineage: Eukaryota; Metazoa; Mollusca; Cephalopoda; Octopoda; Octopodidae
Source: Rfam
GGCUCGUUGGUCUAGGGGCAUGAUUCUUGCUUUGGAUGUGAGAGGCCCCGCGUUCGAAUCCCGGACGAGCCC